UGAAACACGGACCAAGGAGUUUAUCGUGUGCGCAAGUCAUUGGGUGUUGAAAACUCAAAGGCGCAAUGAAAGUAAAGAAUCCGCAAGGAUACGACGUGUGAUCUGAGCAAUCACGAUUGCCUGGAGCAACAUGGCCCCAUUCUGGUCGCUUGCGACGGGGUGGAGGAAGAGCGUACGCGGUGAGACCCGAAAGAUGGUGAACUAUUCCUGAGCAGGAUGAAGCCAGAGGAAACUCUGGUGGAAGUCCGAAGCGAUUCUGACGUGCAAAUCGAUCGUCUGACUUGGGUAUAGGGGCGAAAGACUAAUCGAACCAUCUAGUAGCUGG
Molecule: ribosomal RNA, 325 nt
Filed under: Pratylenchus penetrans
Lineage: Eukaryota; Metazoa; Nematoda; Chromadorea; Rhabditida; Pratylenchidae
Description: partial large subunit ribosomal RNA
Rfam family: Eukaryotic large subunit ribosomal RNA
Source: RNAcentral